This 397-nucleotide ribosomal RNA is filed under the name uncultured bacterium. RNAcentral describes it as "bacterial SSU rRNA". It matches the Rfam family "Bacterial small subunit ribosomal RNA", at positions 30 to 430 of the family's 1533-position model. The record is from RNAcentral.
UUGAACGCUGGCGGCAUGCCUUACACAUGCAAGUCGAACGGUAGCGGGCCUUCGGGUGCCGACGAGUGGCGAACGGGUGAGUAAUGUAUCGGUACGUACCUUUCAGUGGGGGAUAACGUAGCGAAAGUUACGCUAAUACCGCAUAUUCUGUGAGCAGGAAAGCAGGGGAUCGCAAGACCUUGCGCUGAUUGAGCGGCCGAUAUCAGAUUAGCUAGUUGGUGAGGUAAAGGCUCACCAAGGCGACGAUCUGUAGCGGGUCUGAGAGGAUGAGCCGCCACACUGGAACUGAGACACGGUCCAGACUCCUACGGGAGGCAGCAGUGGGGAAUUUUGGACAAUGGGGGCAACCCUGAUCCAGCCAUGCCGCGUGAGUGAAGAAGGCCUUCGGGUUGUAAAG